AAUAUCAUUUGGCGUAAAAAUUGGCUUAGGGUUGAGAUGGUCUAAAGGCCCCUCAUAUACACGUCUAGCUCCGCACAAAAUCCCUCGGCUCUUCAAAGUUUCUCGGUUCUGUACUUUUCUUCCUUGCUGAAGAAUCAGUCUUUGAGAGUAAGUAAUUCAGAAUGAGUGGAACAAGAGAGAAUUGAUCAGCAACCACCAAGACUCCAGCAGAUUUUCUGAAGUCUAUUCAUGGACGACCUGUUGUUAAAUUGAACUCAAGUGUUGACUAUCGAGUUUUGUAUACUGAAUGUGAGCUUGUGUAUUAAAGAGUUCAACGUCAGUCAUAUAUCAGCAAUGCCUCACAGAACUCGGCCUAUGGCAGCUCUUCUACUGUUUACUGGACUUAAUGUUGUUUUGGUCUCAACAAUAACUCCUGUCUAUGAUUUCGUAUGCUUCCAUCCAUAUUGGGAAAGAAGAAGAGAGCGUCGGCGUCAGGAACGUGAAGCAGCUUUAAGAGGUUCAGCAGCUGCUUAGUGUGAUAUCAGGGUUGGAAAUUCUAUCUAGCAUACUCCCUCCGUUACAAUUUAUGUGAACCUAUUUCCUUUUUAGUCCGUGCUAAAAAGAAUGACCACUUUCCCUAUUUGGAAACAAUUUACCUUUAUACAAUGAUUUAUAGCCACACAAAAUAUAUGUGCCUCAUUUUACACCACAAGUUUAAAAGUCUUCUCUCUUUUCUUAAAUUCCGUGCCCAAUCAAAUGAGUUCACAUAAAUUGAAACAGAGGGAGUAUUAUUUAAUUUAGCCUUGUCUCGAGAGAAAAUCAACUUAAUUAAAAAAUAUGAAAGAAAUUGGAGCCAUACACGAUUGUACAACAUGUUUUUGUUGGUUCCAUGGUAAAUAUGGAGUCACAAUCUGAAGUUGAGCAAAGUGCUGUGCAUGGCUUACACUAGAAAUGGAAGAAAGAAAAAAGAAGAUAAUGCUUCUUACCAUGCAUGCCUGCUAUUUUUGAAAAGCCUUGUGACAGAAGUUAUUUAGAAGCUUAGAGCAUAGUGCUAGAACGUUUUCAAAGUUGAUUAGUGUUCUUUUGCUUUGUAUGAUGUAAGAUUAUUGAUAACUUAACGAUACUUGCUAAUCUUACAAGCCAUCGGAUGGUUUUAAUUC
Nicotiana tabacum (common tobacco) is the source of this 1139-nucleotide long non-coding RNA. RefSeq lists it as uncharacterized. Lineage: Eukaryota; Viridiplantae; Streptophyta; Magnoliopsida; Solanales; Solanaceae. The record is from RefSeq and is a predicted model, not a curated record.